GACAGAGGCCCCAAGCGUUAGGCGGAAUCACUGGGCUUAAAGCGUGUGUAGGCGGAUCGUUAAGUGUCUUGUGAAAUCCCACGGCUCACCCGUGGAACGGCUGGGCAUACUGGCGAUCUUGGGCCAACUAGGGGCAGUCGGAACAAGCGGUGGAGCGGUGAAAUGCGUAGAUAUCGCUUGGAACGCCGAAGGUGAAAACAGCUCGCUGGGGGUUUGCUGACGCUGAGACACGAAAGCCAGGGGAGCAAACGGG
This 253-nucleotide ribosomal RNA is filed under the name uncultured bacterium. RNAcentral describes it as "partial 16S ribosomal RNA". It matches the Rfam family "Bacterial small subunit ribosomal RNA", at positions 524 to 776 of the family's 1533-position model. The record is from RNAcentral.